Molecule: transfer RNA, 76 nt
Filed under: Clostridia bacterium
Lineage: Bacteria; Bacillati; Bacillota; Clostridia
Description: tRNA-Asn
Rfam family: tRNA
About the family: Transfer RNA (tRNA) molecules are approximately 80 nucleotides in length. Their secondary structure includes four short double-helical elements and three loops (D, anti-codon, and T loops).
Source: RNAcentral
UCCUCCUUAGCUCAGUUGGCAGAGCGCAUGACUGUUAAUCAUGAUGGCGUUGGUUCGAGCCCAACAGGGGGAGCCA